GACGGACGCAAAAAUUCCCGAUGCCCAAUACGGGCUGGAAAAGGCGCUAACUUUUACGCUUGCUGCCCAUGCCGGGGCAAACCGGCUCUGUGA
This 93-nucleotide non-coding RNA is filed under the name marine eukaryotic metagenome. Its description in RNAcentral is "Pyrrolysine insertion sequence mttB". It matches the Rfam family "Pyrrolysine insertion sequence mttB". The record is from RNAcentral.